AGCUUGUCAUUUCAGUGUGAGUUGAGAUUGUUGGACCCUGUUGUGGCCGAUAUGUUUCCUCUAUCUAGUGAUUUCUCAAUGAAUUUGCAAAAUCACUCAUCAACUUUUGAAGUUUGUUUUUAUAAACAGACACACAAAUAGGUGGUGUAAAACCCAUGGAUAUUUGUAUAACGAAAUCAAGUAUAAAAUGUCGCUUUUUUUAAUCACUCUUGGCAUUGUUCUGAUGAUGUUGCUGCUUACAUAUUGAAAAAUGACUUAGUUAGUAUGUACUUCUUGUGCUGUACCAACUCACCUUCAAAUGUUAUUGCACUCGGACACCGUCUCUUGCGUUCAACACUUAGUAUGCAAAUCCUUGAAAACUCCGUACAGCAGCAUUCGUCGUUUCUUUCGGCAUUUCAGAAUUGAGCAACUGUGAAUUUAUUCGUUUUUACAAUUAUUCCGAUUGCAAACUUGUUUGUUAUAGUUAGUAGUAAGAUCCGGUUUUCGGUCGUUUCAAUGUCAACGUCCAUGCCAUAUUUGACGUUCAAGAACUAUCCCACAAUGAGCAAACCGAGUGAUGUUGCAAAGACAAGAACAAGAGUUUUAUUAAAAGACAGGGCGAUUCGAUCCGAUCUAAAAGAAAAAAAAAAGACCAGUUCUCUUGAACGUGAGCGAGUAAGAGUUAUAAAUUUUUCCUUAUGUAUCCAGUCAACAGUUUGUUUAGAAGCCGUUCAUUUGAAUAAUGAAGUAGGUGUAAUAGGUAAGCUAUACGUUGUUCUUAUUCUUUUAUCAAAAUAAAUGUGACUGAAUUGACUUUAAAUCAAAUGAACUAUUUAUUAAUCUUUUUGUUUUUGCAGUUUUCAAUCAAUAGGAGUGGAAUUUAACAUUUCAGAUUACUAAUAGUAGCAACUACAUGUUCAUGUUAUAUAACCUUAAGUGUCGUUGACUUUUUUUUUAGUCGUCACGACACUUGCAAAUUUGAUAGAAUUUUAUCACGAUAGAUUCACCGCUGGACAAGUCUUAAAUAAUAAUAAUUAAUAACCAAAAAAUACACCAGCAAGAUAACGAGAACUUAUUCUACUCCCGAAUUAAGAGUAUAGAAGGCUAGCAACUUGAUUUGCAUUUCGAUCACGAUGAAGGUCGAGAGACAAGAACAUGAGAGCGCAAUUGAACAAUUCCUCUGUUGAGGGUUGAUUUACCCAAGUUAGACGGACCGACUACAGAAACCCAUCGUACCUACCUUGCGGCACCGCAAAUAAGCAACUUUUCUAUUGCAACUUAUUUUAUUUCACUCCUUUAAAUUAGUUUCAAAAGGCGUUGGCUCGAUUAACGUACGCAGUAUAUGCAAAUUCUUCCAAAUCUGAAUCAGGGCGUUACCUUGAGCGUCCUCAAUUCCUGCAAUAUAAAGAAAGCCCCACUCGGGAGUUAAUCAGACGUCUCGUCGAAGUACAAACAACACAACCUUCAGGCAAAAAUCGAGGAAAAUGAUCCAAAGAGAUUUUACAGAAAUCAUCCUGUUUUUCGCGACAGUGAUUCUACUGGGCAGCUUCAAUCCUGUCGCUGGUUUCUUCCUUCCCCAAGUCACUCGUACAGAUGACGCCGUCGUCAUCGAUUUUUCAGUUAAGGGAUCGGAAUAUGCUGAUCCUAUUGACAGAAGGAACGUCUAUGAAGAAAUUCUCAAUCCAGUAUUCGUUCCGCUGCCAUUUUUCGAUCCUUACGCAAUGACGAAUCAUCCUUGGUAUAAUGGAUGGUCUUAUUCUUUUGGAUUCCCUGGUCUCAGCACCCGGGCAGAUACCCGUGAAGGUGCCCCAUCUGCUAGGCAGUUUGAUGGCGAAGAAGAAGAAGAAGAAGACUUUGGCGAGAAGCAGGACGUAAAACAACUACAAAUUUCAGGAACGACAACAACAACAGCAAGACCAACGACAAGGACAACAAGGUCACCAACAACGACAACAAGAUCAGCAACAACGA
Daphnia pulicaria is the source of this 1950-nucleotide long non-coding RNA. RefSeq lists it as uncharacterized. The transcript has 3 exons. The record is from RefSeq and is a predicted model, not a curated record. NCBI's taxonomy places the organism in Eukaryota, Metazoa, Arthropoda, Branchiopoda, Diplostraca, Daphniidae.